This 553-nucleotide ribosomal RNA is filed under the name uncultured freshwater bacterium. RNAcentral describes it as "bacterial SSU rRNA". It matches the Rfam family "Bacterial small subunit ribosomal RNA", at positions 8 to 607 of the family's 1533-position model. The record is from RNAcentral.
AGAGUUUGAUCCUGGCUCAGAACGAACGCUGGCGGCAUGCCUAACACAUGCAAGUCGAACGAGACCUUCGGGUCUAGUGGCGCACGGGUGCGUAACGCGUGGGAAUCUGCCCUUGGGUUCGGAAUAACUCAGAGAAAUUUGAGCUAAUACCGGAUGAUGACGUAAGUCCAAAGAUUUAUCGCCCAAGGAUGAGCCCGCGUAAGAUUAGCUUGUUGGUAGGGUAACGGCCUACCAAGGCGACGAUCUUUAGCUGGUCUGAGAGGAUGAUCAGCCACACUGGGACUGAGACACGGCCCAGACUCCUACGGGAGGCAGCAGUGGGGAAUAUUGGACAAUGGGCGAAAGCCUGAUCCAGCAAUGCCGCGUGAGUGAUGAAGGCCUUAGGGUUGUAAAGCUCUUUUACCAGGGAUGAUAAUGACAGUACCUGGAGAAUAAGCUCCGGCUAACUCCGUGCCAGCAGCCGCGGUAAUACGGAGGGAGCUAGCGUUGUUCGGAAUCACUGGGCGUAAAGCGUGCGUAGGCGGUGACUCAAGUCAGAGGUGAAAGCCUGGAG